CUCAGGACGAACGCUGGCGGCGUGCUUAACACAUGCAAGUCGAACGAGGUCCACCGCGUAGCAAUACAAGGGAAGACCUAGUGGCGAACGGGUGCGUAACACGUGAGGAACUUGUCCCGGUCUCUGGGAUAACAGUUGGAAACGACUGCUAAUACCGGAUGACGUCGGAAUCUCGCAUGGGAUACUGACGAAAGGGUUACUGGAUCGGGAGAGCCUCGCGGCCUAUCAGCUUGUUGGUGAGGUAACGGCUCACCAAGGCAUCGACGGGUAGCUGGUCUGAGAGGAUGAUCAGCCACACUGGGACUGAGACACGGCCCAGACUCCUACGGGAGGCAGCAGUGGGGAAUCUUGCGCAAUGGGCGAAAGCCUGACGCAGCAACGCCGCGUGCGGGAAGAAGGCCCUCGGGUUGUAAACCGCUUUCAGAAGGAACGAAAAUGACGGUACUUCAGAAGAAGGUGCGGCCAACUACGUG
This 473-nucleotide ribosomal RNA is filed under the name uncultured bacterium. Its description in RNAcentral is "bacterial SSU rRNA". It matches the Rfam family "Bacterial small subunit ribosomal RNA", at positions 23 to 507 of the family's 1533-position model. The record is from RNAcentral.